UCGAGGGGCAGCGCGUCUUCGGAUGGCGGCGACCGGCGCACGGGUGCGCACCGCGUAUGGAACCUGCCCUCUACAGGGGAAUAGCCCAGGGAAACUUGGAUUAAUGCCCCGUGGCACCAUUUAACGGCAUCGUUUUAUGGUUAAAGCCUUCGGGCGGUAGAGGAUGGCCAUGCGUCCCAUUAGUUAGUUGGUAGGGUAACGGCCUACCAAGACCGCGAUGGGUAGGGGCCCUGAGAGGGGGAUCCCCCACACUGGUACUGAGACACGGACCAGACUCCUACGGGAGGCAGCAGUGAGGAAUAUUGGACAAUGGGCGAGGGCCUGAUCCAGCCAUGCCGCGUGCAGGAAGAAUGCCCUAUGGGUAGUAAACUGCUUUUAUACGGGAAGAAAAAGGGGCACGUGUGCCCUGUUGACGGUACCGUAAGAAUAAGGACCGGCUAACUCCGUGCCAGCAGCCGCGGUAAUACGGAGGGUCCGAGCGUUAUCCGGAAUUAUUGGGUUUAAAGGGUCCGUAGGCGGGCCGGUAAGUCAGGGGUGAAAGUCUGUAGCUCAACUAUAGAACUGCCUUUGAUACUGCCGGUCUUGAGUCACGGUGAAGUUGGCGGAAUAUGUGGUGUAGCGGUGAAAUGCAUAGAUAUCACAUAGAACACCGAUUGCGAAGGCAGCUGACUAACCGUGUACUGACGCUGAUGGACGAAAGCGUGGGGAGCGAACAGGAUUAGAUACCCUGGUAGUCCACGCCGUAAACGAUGGAUACUAGCUGUCCGGGUCCUUGAGACCUGGGCGGCCAAGCGAAAGUGAUAAGUAUCCCACCUGGGG
This 819-nucleotide ribosomal RNA is filed under the name Maribacter aurantiacus. RNAcentral's name for it is "bacterial SSU rRNA". It matches the Rfam family "Bacterial small subunit ribosomal RNA", at positions 62 to 878 of the family's 1533-position model. Lineage: Bacteria; Pseudomonadati; Bacteroidota; Flavobacteriia; Flavobacteriales; Flavobacteriaceae. The record is from RNAcentral.